This 390-nucleotide ribosomal RNA is filed under the name uncultured bacterium. Its description in RNAcentral is "bacterial SSU rRNA". It matches the Rfam family "Bacterial small subunit ribosomal RNA", at positions 114 to 507 of the family's 1533-position model. The record is from RNAcentral.
CACGUAGGUGAUCUGCCCAUCAGACGGGGACAACGAUUGGAAACGAUCGACUAAUACCGGAUAGGACGAAAGUUUAACGGUGCUUCUGGCACCGCUGAUGGAUGAGCCUGCGGCGCAUUAGCUAGUUGGUAGGUAAAGGCCUACCAAGGCGACGAUGCGUAGCCGACCUGAGAGGGUGAACGGCCACACUGGGACUGAGACACGGCCCAGACUCCUACGGGAGGCAGCAGUAGGGAAUCUUCGGCAAUGGGCGAAAGCCUGACCGAGCAACGCCGCGUGAAUGAUGAAGGCCUUCGGGUUGUAAAAUUCUGUUAUAAGGGAAGAACGACUUUAGUAGGAAAUGGCUAGAGUGUGACGGUACCUUAUGAGAAAGCCACGGCUAACUACGUG